Molecule: ribosomal RNA, 546 nt
Filed under: Bacillus subtilis
Lineage: Bacteria; Bacillati; Bacillota; Bacilli; Caryophanales; Bacillaceae
Description: bacterial SSU rRNA
Rfam family: Bacterial small subunit ribosomal RNA
Source: RNAcentral
GGCGGACGGGUGAGUAACACGUGGGUAACCUGCCUGUAAGACUGGGAUAACUCCGGGAAACCGGGGCUAAUACCGGAUGCUUGUUUGAACCGCAUGGUUCAAACAUAAAAGGUGGCUUCGGCUACCACUUACAGAUGGACCCGCGGCGCAUUAGCUAGUUGGUGAGGUAAUGGCUCACCAAGGCAACGAUGCGUAGCCGACCUGAGAGGGUGAUCGGCCACACUGGGACUGAGACACGGCCCAGACUCCUACGGGAGGCAGCAGUAGGGAAUCUUCCGCAAUGGACGAAAGUCUGACGGAGCAACGCCGCGUGAGUGAUGAAGGUUUUCGGAUCGUAAAGCUCUGUUGUUAGGGAAGAACAAGUACCGUUCGAAUAGGGCGGUACCUUGACGGUACCUAACCAGAAAGCCACGGCUAACUACGUGCCAGCAGCCGCGGUAAUACGUAGGUGGCAAGCGUUGUCCGGAAUUAUUGGGCGUAAAGGGCUCGCAGGCGGUUCCUUAAGUCUGAUGUGAAAGCCCCCGGCUCAACCGGGGAGGGUCAUUG